UGCCAAUCUCCUUGUGCCACACCCUUUUCCCUAUCUUUUCACACACACAUCUGAUUUCUCUUGAGGAGGCAUGCCACACCUCAAACCCAUGCCUUAUAUCCCUUUUUAGUAGGAGUUAGUUAGGGUUUCAAGAGUCCAAAGAUACUAGGACUCUUUGUAGCCCUCCCCACUCCUUGUGCACCCUUUUCUCCAUGCCAAAAAAAGAAUUCAUGUAACUCUCUCUUGGUGUGAAACAUAUGGGGCGUGAGGCUUAGGGAAGAGUCCUUCUAUUGGUCAAUCACCUUUUGAAGAUAGAGUCUAAGGUGGUUUGGAUUUCCAUUUAAAUCAAAAUCUGAUUGAGUCUAAACCUUUUAGACUUAUAAAAUCCAAUCUGAGUCAAACUCAGACCAAGUCCAAUCAAAUUAAAUUUGAUUUAAUUUGACUAGGAUCAACCCAAUUAUUUGAUCAAGUUAAAUAAUCUAGCAAUAGUUACAAUUAAGUUCUUCUAUAACUCAUUAAUUCUUAGCAAAUCCUUCAUGUAACUUUUACACAUUGGUCCAAUCAUUAAUCAAAUUGAUAAUUAAAUCUUAUUGUGAUUUCAAAUCAUAAUUCAACAAUCUGAUCAGUCAGGACCUCUUUUACGUGUGACCUUGUA
RNAcentral lists this long non-coding RNA (634 nucleotides) under Elaeis guineensis (African oil palm). RNAcentral describes it as "long non-coding RNA (EGUI_LNC068312)". Lineage: Eukaryota; Viridiplantae; Streptophyta; Magnoliopsida; Arecales; Arecaceae. The record is from RNAcentral.